AUAAGCGGAGGAAAAGAAACCAACAGGGAUUGCCUUAGUAGCGGCGAGUGAAGCGGCAAAAGCUCAAAUUUGAAAUCUGGCGCCUUCGGUGUCCGAGUUGUAAUUUGAAGAUUGUAACCUUGGGGUUGGCUCUUGUCUAUGUUUCUUGGAACAGGACGUCACAGAGGGUGAGAAUCCCGUGCGAUGAGAUGCCCAAUUCUAUGUAAGGUGCUUUCGAAGAGUCGAGUUGUUUGGGAAUGCAGCUCUAAGUGGGUGGUAAAUUCCAUCUAAAGCUAAAUAUUGGCGAGAGACCGAUAGCGAACAAGUACAGUGAUGGAAAGAUGAAAAGAACUUUGAAAAGAGAGUGAAAAAGUACGUGAAAUUGUUGAAAGGGAAGGGUUUGAGAUCAGACUCGAUAUUUUGUGAGCCUUGCCUUCGUGGCGGGGUGACCCGCAGCUUAUCGGGCCAGCAUCGGUUUGGGCGGUAGGAUAAUGGCGUAGGAAUGUGACUUUACUUCGGUGAAGUGUUAUAGCCUGCGUUGAUGCUGCCUGCCUAGACCGAGGACUGCGAUUUUAUCAAGGAUGCUGGCAUAAUGAUCCCAAACCGCCCGUCUGA
Molecule: ribosomal RNA, 594 nt
Filed under: Meyerozyma guilliermondii
Lineage: Eukaryota; Fungi; Ascomycota; Pichiomycetes; Serinales; Debaryomycetaceae
Description: partial large subunit ribosomal RNA
Rfam family: Eukaryotic large subunit ribosomal RNA
Source: RNAcentral